AUUGAACGCUGGCGGCAUGCUUUACACAUGCAAGUCGGACGGCAGCACAGAGAAGCUUGCUUCUUGGGUGGCGAGUGGCGAACGGGUGAGUAAUAUAUCGGAACGUACCGAGUAAUGGGGGAUAACUAAUCGAAAGAUUAGCUAAUACCGCAUAUUCUCUGAGGAGGAAAGCAGGGGACCUUCGGGCCUUGCGUUAUUCGAGCGGCCGAUAUCUGAUUAGCUAGUUGGUGGGGUAAAGGCCUACCAAGGCGACGAUCAGUAGCGGGUCUGAGAGGAUGAUCAGCCACACUGGAACUGAGACACGGCCCAGACUCCUACGGGAGGCAGCAGUGGGGAAUAUUGGACAAUGGGCGCAAGCCUGAUCCAGCCAUGCCGCGUGUCUGAAGAAGGCCUUCGGGUUGUAAAGGACUUUUGUCAGGGAAGAAAAGGCUGUUGCUAAUACCGACAGCUGAUGACGGUACCUGAAGAAUAAGCACCGGCUAACUACGUG
Molecule: ribosomal RNA, 490 nt
Filed under: uncultured bacterium
Lineage: Bacteria
Description: partial 16S ribosomal RNA
Rfam family: Bacterial small subunit ribosomal RNA
Source: RNAcentral